Molecule: ribosomal RNA, 251 nt
Filed under: uncultured prokaryote
Description: partial 16S rRNA
Rfam family: Bacterial small subunit ribosomal RNA
Source: RNAcentral
ACGGAGGAUGCGAGCGUUAUCCGGAUUCAUUGGGUUUAAAGGGUGCGUAGGCGGACUAUUAAGUCAGUGGUGAAAUCCUGCAGCUUAACUGCAGAACUGCCAUUGAUACUGUUAGACUUGAGUUAGGAUAAGGUAGACGGAAUGCGUAGUGUAAGGGUUAAAUUUUUAGAUAUGACGAAGAACACCGACGGCGAAGGCAGUUUACUGAUCCUGUAUUGACGCUGAAUUGCGAAAGCGUGGGGAGCGAACAG